CAUCCGUGCUGCCGUAGACCCGACGGCGGAGGCCCUAUAAGAACCGUAAAGAACCAGGUAGGGAACGGGUUUAGUUUGCGUUGCGCUUGGUUUACGUGCGUGAGGGGGGGAGUGAGGGCAGGUGGAGGUGGCCUAGUCCCUCCGUCAACGGUGUGGUGUGGUGGGCGGAGAGGGGGGAAGGCGGGUGGCCGUUCCGGUAAGGGCGCGCGGCGGCCAGUGGGUCUCGUAGUUAAAUAGAAGUUCGAACGUCUGAGCUUCCUUGUGAACAGCACGUAACACGUAUAGUAAAGAGACUCUUUUCAUCGGUAUCAUGAAUUUCGUUGUAAAGAACCUACCCAAGUCUGUUCGUCUCACCAUCGGGUGAUAACCCUUGGGAGUUCUACCUCUCCCAAGCCUGCUAGGACUGUGUAUGCGGUAUAGGAGUACUUGUGAGCUCCGUAUAGUACUGCCGUCACUAUUAACCCACGGAGAAAAAGUAGAGCAGGCUGUUAUACGUAUGAGACUAUGUAUUUGACCUGUCGUUAUAGUUUACCACCAGGUACAUACAAACGAACUAACCAAAGAAGAUGAAGAAAAGUAGAGGGAAGGAACCUUCUUGUUAAGUCGGCUCAAUGAGUUUAAAGUUGGCUACCAUACAGCGAACCUAAACGAAACGUAGGGACAUAGUAGAGGGAUCGAAGGUUAGUUACCCGCAACUAUACGCGUACUUGGAAAGUGAAAAAAACUGAUAUAUAAAGAGAAGACAGGAGAAGUAGUGGCGGAAAGUGUAGUAUAAAUAACCAGAGACCAUGUAACCUGACCAACGAGCGUACCGUCCGUGUUCUGGUCCUUAUACCUGGUAUCAUGUUUUGACAUGACAGUAGUCAUAACGCACGACACAUAAGAUGUCAGUAACGCCCUUAGAACGACACGGGUUUUCGCUUAGAAAACUGUUCUCAAGACUAGGUUCAAACGAACGAAAAGAAUUUUUGCUUUUACCUUGGUGUACCUAUAGUUUAAAAGAGAAAUACUUACUUGAUUUUCUAGUCUAUACAAGUAGAACCAAACGUGGACAACCUAGGCGUUCACUGAUAGGAGAAGACAGUUUCACCCAAUAUAUACCCCUCAAUCAAACGUCACCUAGGACACGACCGGGUAGUCUACUUUAUAGAGGAGACAUGAGUGACACCCGAUGUAAGCAACCGGAAAUAUAACGGUUGAAACAACACCUCUCUAGUUGACCUACCCGAGAAUGAGUGAACAGUGGUCAUAGUCUUCUUCUCUUCGAGUCUUUUGUAUACUUUGGUCUAAAGAACCUAUACCAUGGAACCAUGAGUCCCUGUAGCCGACUAAAUAAGUUCUGCCGCAAACUAGAAUACCAGAGACAUUGAGAAAAACAACCCGCUAAACUGUACGCGUACUACGUCCGACGUUACUUUUCAUGAUGUCUACUUUGAGCCUUACUGCUACACGAGAUACUGAUAAAAUUACUUUCUCUUCUGGAAACCAAACUGAAACAGCGUCUGUGACCACUACCACCUUUAAGUAGUAUAUGUCAACGGGCCGACGACCGAGUCGGUAGGUAAGUCUGACAUUAACCACCAAGAUACGUAUGAGAAGGUGCACCUUUAAACGAACAAUAACCGCCUCUAGAACGCAUAGGUUUGGGAAGCAGGAAAUGUAUACUCUCUGCGAAGAAACCAGGAAAACUCAUACGAUACGUUGGAGGCGCAACCAUAUUCCGACUUGUAUAUCGACACCUAUUCGGACUCCAAGGAGGCCCUCAUAGUUUCUACUUUUUUAUACUACCUGGGGUUACAAAGUAUUAAGGGCCCUUGGUGCUAACCAAGCUACCCGAAUUGUGGAAGUACUCUAUAUAUACAGUGUUUUCGACCAAUCCACCUACCAAAGACGGAGUCUCCUUCUCAAUGAAACGUAACGUCGAAGGCUUUCCAACCACCUAUAAACCAGAACUAGAUCGAGAAGUACCACUGUAACUACAUAUGGUUAAGUUCAAGAAACGUCUUGAAACAGCCUUAUUCCAACCUCUCUUGCUGAGACACUAGUAACAAUGUGUGCUCGGUUUGACCGAGGAGCUAACCAUAACCUUCCUCUGAUGUCCGUUCUUACAGAGUGUAAACUAAGUCCUGAUGGACUUACCUUCCACGUUUGAAGCAUACCGACCCCUAAACGUAGUAAAAUACUCCGUAAGACGUUGUGGUAGUCUAUUUGGUUGAAAACAACUUGUGAAUGAACAGUUACCUACACCACCACGGAAAGACGUGGGUUGUGUACAAAAGUUUUUGAAACUUUCCAAGAGACCAUGAUGGAUGCUCACGUUCCGACGAAUAGGGAGAAUACUCCUUAGAUCACCCUAACGUGACCCGUUAUAUAAUUUUAAGGCGUUCUUCUUAACCGUCAAGCUGUAUUAACCACCAAAAUAAAUGAAGUAUGACCAUAAGAGGUACAAGGGUGUCACAUUAGAACAAGUGUAGAAUUUACUCCUUUGUACCAGACCCGCAGACGUUUCGAAGAGUUCAUGUUAUACCUCACGAAACGAAAAAUAAAAACUUGUGAGAAUACAGAGGAGUCAUCCUUCAGAUUGAAACAACUACCGUAGUAUAAGUAAACAUGGUAGGUUUGAGUGUUCCUUUUUUUCUCGAUAAUAGCCAUCGGACGUACAAAACCGGGUAGACUGACGUCGAGAUCAAAAUUACAACGAGUACCUCAACCCGUAACUUUAUACGUAUGCCUUAGUAAAUGACCGUUGCAGUCCAAUAGUGGGAGAUAUACUAACCAUAGCCAGUUACCUUUCACUCGUAAAAGGUCUAGGUUGACCAGAAGCAUGAGCUAACCUUGUUACCUGCGAACCUGAUAUAGGUCGUACAUAUUUUAUGGAAUACAGUCGGAAACUGCAGGGUCUCCAGUACCGACAAUGUUCCUAGUUGUAAACGUUCUUGCCGUACUACAGCGAAAGAGCCUCACAAGACUAGUACAUGAUAUGAAGACAUAAAUAGAUAAAGACCUAAAAGAGUUGAGGUCAACAAAGGGAGUAUAAACCAUCAAUGGAUAUGUAUACGUAGUUGACCAAGGUGUAUGUGAAACUACUUCGGAAGAGCAGAAACGCGUAGCGUUUGAUGUUUAGAAAGUGUUCCAAGGUAUAAUUCUUCCUACCACUAGAUCUUUAUAAAUGUGAACGUCAACUGUUCCAGGGUUUCCUAACCUUUAACCUAGGGUUCACCCUCCGUCUCCUUUCUCCCGGAGUAGUCGAGUCGGUGGUGGCCUCUAUGGGAUCGUUUACCUCCAGUCGGAGUAGAGGUCUGGGGCAGUCCAGCCACGCCCAGCAACUGGUAAAGUGGUAGUGUUCUUGUCAUCGUGGUCUAGGGCUCUGGAGGACGACUAAGGGAUGUAGUAACGACCACUUCAUGAACGAGCUCUGUAAUCGCUAACGAACGCGUCUGACAGUCAAAAAGUAGGGUAUAGGUCGAACUGAACCCGACUGGAUAGUAUAGACGAGGCCACAACGGAAGUCGAGAGAUACGCUUGAAGUAGAGGUCGUAACGUGUCGUAUAUCGUCUCUAAAUGAACACGUGAUCAAUUGACCAUUGUUUCUUCUUACCUACCUCCUUUGUAUCUUUUUCAAGCUAAGUAGUCUAUCUAACAUAAGACUCACCUACUAGAAAUAUCAAAUAUGGCUUUCUAUCACCUUGUGCCGGUAAAAAACAGUAUACCUUUGUGUAUAGGACCUACAUCUAAAGUGACUUUGUGCCUCACAUUUAAAGUGAUAAAAGACAUCUUCCUUGGCUCAAUUAAUAAAGACCUUAAGCGAAGCAAUGAGACCACGGUAACUAAGAAUCAUGUAUGUAGACGUUACAAUAUUUAAAGUCUCAAACGUUUAUACACCGAAGAGUAACGGACCUCUUAUAUUAGGAGUAAGUCGUUUCGUAGAAUUGUAAGUCGAUAUUUUGCUACCUGUGUUACCGCGGUGUUUCGUCGUUGCUAAGUAACGAACCCACAGUGACGUCGCGUGACUACUAAGGAUGUGGAAAUUUUUUCUUUAAUAAGCUGCUUUUAAGGUUUCAAACGUUUAGCCAUCGAAGAGGUUAAGACUUCAGACCUCUACUAUUAGUACACAUCGUAGAACGAAACGAGUGCCUUCCUCAUUCGUAGAGUUGUGAGUCGAUAUAUUUCCGAGCUAGACGCACGAUUACCGCAUUCGAGGGAUAAGCUCCGGUUCCAUCUAUGUCACUCUCUCUAUUAGUACCGCGUCGUUUCGCCGUUACUAGACUUCCGACAUUACCUCUUCGACGAGGUCCGCAAGCUCCUGCUUCACCUGUCACUCGACGGAGUGUCCCGCCUCGACCUGGUGUAGAAGGCGUAGGAGUUCCGUUUGUUCCUCUUCUAGUAGAGCCUCGGUGGCCUCCACCCCUUCUUCCUCUUCGACGGGCUCGACGACGCGUCAUAGCCGCUACGGGACGUCGUUACGUUCCGUGCCAGGUUCGUCGUCGUCAGACUCAGACUGUUCCGGUUCUCGUUCUUCUACUGCUACGGCAGCCACUCGCUGACGUUGGGAAAGUUCAGAGCUGGGAGCGUCGACAGGCAGCUGGGGAACGACCUCGUCUGGUAGCGGUAAGAGCCGCUACAAGGAGGAGGAAGAGGAAGGGGACUAGUCCUACGUCCUCUCCUCCGGCACUGCCUCAUGAUGGUCACCUGUUGCUCGAUGCACCUACUCUCGGCCUAUAUGCCGACCCUGUUCCUUCGGUUGCUACACCAGCUGCGGGAGCAGCCGUUCCUCCCCCUCCUCCUCCUAGUCCACGACAAGUCCUGCCGCCCGUAGCGGCCCUAGGUGCCGUCGCCGUUCUGCCGCGACCGCGUCUUCCACAAGCAGGUGCUGUCCUAGUUCCUGCGGAAGGGAGAGGCCGAGACCCAAACGCACCCGGGCGGCCUGGUGCUCCUGUCCAAGUUGGAGGAGAUGGCCUACGAGCUGUUGGAGCCGGAGCUGUGGCGGUUCCACCUCCUGUAGCAGCUGUUCCGGCUGCACCAGCAGUUCCGUCGGUGGCUGCUCCUGUUCUAGUUCAGGUCCUAGCCGCACGACGAGAAGUAGGAGAUGCACUGCGACAUGUUCUGCCCCAUGGAAUAGCACAAGCUGCUGUACUCCCGCAUGUCGCUGACCAUGUCGUUGGACUGCGACGUCGGUGGGUUCCUGCCGCUCACCAUGCUCGCCGAGCGGAUGCCGGACGGGUUCCGUCCUUCUCGCGGCACGAGCAGUGGUCGGCGUCGCUCCUGCCGCGGUCCCACUACCACGCGUGGCCGCCGCACAAAGUGGGAGGGUUCGAGCUCCCGCUUCUUCCCACCUUCGAGAAGGUGGCCCUCAUGUUCCUCCGGUUUCUGUUCCUGUCCUUCCUGUUCCCGCUGUUUCUGUUCCCGCUGUUCCUCCUCCUUCUGUUCGAAAUGUUCCUUGAGCUUCUCUACUUCUUCCUCUAGUAGCCUUUCACGGAGCCGGAAGGCCACCGGUAGCAGGUCCGCCGGUUCCCGAAGCGGCGCGAGCUCGUGCUCGGCCUUCGACUGCGGUUCCUAUUGCGACGGCGCCUAGUCUGACGCUGCUCGUUCUGGCUUGGACCUGGACGUUGACUCCGCUGCCUCCGGUUAGUCAGACGAUUAACUCGAUGACUGAGUGACACGCGCACGAAUACACGAGACGAUUUACAAACAAAGCAUGACAGCUCACACGGAAAAAAAAGAAAAGAACAGAGGAACUAAAUGGAAAAAAAAUAAUGCUCUUGGUUAACUGGUACCUCAAAGCCCCGCACACAUUACAAACAAGCUGGCUGGAACACCUCUGAAGAAGUUUAAACUUGAAAAAA
This 5843-nucleotide ribosomal RNA is filed under the name Triticum aestivum (bread wheat). RNAcentral's name for it is "partial small subunit ribosomal RNA". Lineage: Eukaryota; Viridiplantae; Streptophyta; Magnoliopsida; Poales; Poaceae. The record is from RNAcentral.